CGCCGGUCAGGCCGGGCGAUCCGCCAGCGGCGUAAACUGUGCGGGAGCGCGGCCGUGGAGCAGGCACUUAAAGCUGUGGGGAGACACCCAGAAUCGAGCUUUUAAAGCUGAAGGAAACUGAAACAGAAGCUAGUGUGGACCCAGAGUUUUACUGACGAAGAAACUGAGCCCACAGAGUUAAAGUGACUUUGCCCAAGGUCACCCAGGUGCUUUCCGAGGCAGGCCAUGCUCAUGUUCAUGGCCUCUGACAGUGAGGAAGAAGUGUACGACGAGCGGACGUCCCUGAUGUCAGCCGAGAGCCCCACACCACGCUCCUGCCAGGAGGGCAGGCAGGGCCCGGAGGAUGGAGAGAACACUGCCCAGUGGAGAAUCCAGGAUGGCGAGGAGGAUGGUGACGAGGACCCUGACCGCUAUGUCUGCAGUGGGGUCCCUGGGCGGCCCCCGGGCCUGGAAGAAGAGCUGACCCUCAAAUACGGAGCGAAGCACGUGAUCAUGUUGUUCGUGCCUGUCACUCUGUGCAUGAUUGUGGUGGUGGCCACCAUCAAGUCUGUGCGCUUCUACACAGAGAAGAACGGACAGCUCAUCUACACACCAUUCACUGAGGACACGCCCUCGGUGGGCCAGCGCCUGCUCAACUCCGUGCUCAACACCCUCAUCAUGAUCAGCGUCAUCGUGGUCAUGACCAUCUUCCUGGUGGUGCUCUACAAGUACCGCUGCUACAAGUUCAUCCACGGCUGGCUGAUCAUGUCCUCCCUCAUGCUGCUGUUCCUCUUCACCUAUAUCUACCUCGGGGAAGUACUCAAGACCUACAACGUGGCCAUGGACUACCCCACGCUCGUGCUGACCGUCUGGAACUUUGGGGCUGUGGGCAUGGUGUGCAUCCACUGGAAGGGGCCCCUCAUGCUGCAGCAGGCCUACCUCAUUGUGAUCAGUGCGCUCAUGGCCCUGGUGUUCAUCAAGUACCUCCCGGAGUGGUCCGCCUGGGUCAUCCUGGGUGCCAUCUCUGUGUACGAUCUUGUGGCUGUCCUGUGUCCCAAAGGGCCACUGAGAAUGCUGGUGGAAACUGCCCAGGAGCGAAACGAGCCCAUUUUCCCUGCCCUGAUAUACUCAUGCAGCCGCUGUCAGCACCAUCUGAGUCGUGACCCUUUUCUCUUUACCCAGCUGCCAUGGUAUGGACAGUGGGCAUGGCCAAGCUGGACCCCUCCUCUCAGGGAGCCCUGCAGCUCCCCUAUGACCCUGAGAUGGAAGAAGACUCCUAUGACAGUUUUGGGGAGCCCUCAUAUCCCGAAGUCUUUGAGCCCCCUGUGCCUGGCUACCCAGGGGAGGAGCUGGAGGAAGAGGAGGAAAGGGGCGUGAAGCUCGGCCUCGGGGACUUCAUCUUCUACAGCGUGCUGGUGGGCAAGGCCGCAGCUACGGGCAGCGGGGACUGGAACACCACACUGGCCUGCUUUGUGGCCAUCCUCAUCGGUUUGUGUCUGACCCUCCUGCUGCUGGCUGUGUUCAAGAAGGCGCUGCCCGCCCUGCCCAUCUCCAUCACGUUCGGGCUCAUCUUCUACUUCUCCACGGACAACCUCGUGCGUCCUUUCAUGGACACCUUGGCCUCCCACCAGCUCUACAUCUGAGGGCCGCGGCCACCACAUGCUGGAAGCUGCAGGGAAUUUUAACUGGACGCAGUCGUAUGAUUUUACACUCUAGUGCCAUAUAUUUUUAAAACUUUUUUUUCCUUAAAAAAAAAGAAAAAAGUAUCGUGUUUACUUGGUGAGGAGGAAGCAGAACCAGCUUUUCGGUGCUAGCUGUUUUGUCAGGAGACUCUGGCCCGGCCCUUGGUGAGCACCUCCUCGCUUGCG
RNA transcript from Otolemur garnettii (small-eared galago), 1847 nucleotides. It is a transcript of the gene named presenilin 2, with no coding region annotated. The record is from RefSeq and is a predicted model, not a curated record. The transcript is spliced from 12 exons. NCBI's taxonomy places the organism in Eukaryota, Metazoa, Chordata, Mammalia, Primates, Galagidae.